AUGUUGGUGAGGAAUUUUGUGUUAAGAAAAAAAAAUCAUGUUGAAGUAGUUGCAAUGCUUGGUGUUUAUGGAUUCCUAGUUAUCGCGGUUGAAGUAUCUAUUUUAGAAUUGAAGACUCUGGAAUCAAUCAAAUGGUAUGCAGAUAUUGUACUUGCCUUUGCUAGCUAUGGUGUGUCAAGCUUCAUCUUUUACUCAUUUGCUCCCUUUGUUCUUAAGGUGGAUUGGUUGUACAAAUGA
Molecule: non-coding RNA, 237 nt
Organism: Vicia faba (fava bean)
Lineage: Eukaryota; Viridiplantae; Streptophyta; Magnoliopsida; Fabales; Fabaceae
Source: the annotation of a GenBank genome assembly